Molecule: small nuclear RNA, 22 nt
Filed under: Arabidopsis thaliana (thale cress)
Lineage: Eukaryota; Viridiplantae; Streptophyta; Magnoliopsida; Brassicales; Brassicaceae
Description: snRNA_00867
Source: RNAcentral
UAAGCAGAACUGGCGAUGCGGG